This is a long non-coding RNA of Dalotia coriaria, 851 nucleotides long. RefSeq lists it as uncharacterized. Lineage: Eukaryota; Metazoa; Arthropoda; Insecta; Coleoptera; Staphylinidae. The record is from RefSeq and is a predicted model, not a curated record. The transcript has 3 exons.
AGUAGAAUAAUGUUCUAAUUUGUUCAAAUGUAUGAUUUUAGAUUAGAUGAGGCAGUGGGCUAAUUUUCAACCCACAUAAUUGCUUACAUCACCAAUGAUAGAAGUUCUAAGAACUGUACUUUUCAAUUGGAUUGUUACUCCUGCUACUGAUGGAACCUCUGUCGCAGAUUAAUAUGAACAACAUUCAAAAUUUAUGCCUCUGUUACAAUACAUUGGUAAAAUAUUAUUAUGUGAUUCAAUACCUGAUAUAGGUUCAAUCAUUUCGUGGGGCGUGGUUCUUUCGAUUGCAUCACUCAGCGCGUAGCAUGAAUGUUUGCAUUUUCUCCAGUUCUAGUAAGAUACAAAAAGUGGUACUUUAUAUACGGACGGCCAAGUCGUAAAUCAUAUACAUUAUUACAUUAUUACAUUAUACAUUAUUACGUAUUUGCCUACGGAGCAGCACAAGGCGGUAUGAAAUGAGCGGGCGGCACGGCAUUUAUUAUCUUACGGUUUGUAGUAGUGUGCAAGCAAAUUUUGAUGAUUUAAAAUGCAAAAGUUGAAAUACAAAAACCGCAACGUGGAACUAGAGUGGAAGUAGAAAAAAAUAACGUAAGCACCACGUGGCUACACGGUGUCCAGGACUAGAUUGGUUGACCGCUCGCUCUCAAUCUCGUCCGUAAUACCCUCGUUUAGCCACUUGUUACUUAAUAUAUUUAAGCAAACAAUAAAAUUUUAUUUUAUAGCAAAUUCAGGUGAUAGCAAAUGAAGUAAUGUGUGGUCCAGUGAUGGAUUACACCAAAGCAAUAUAGCCUCUUAAAAUAUUUUAUAAUAAAUUAAUAAGUAAUUUCAUUUAGCCUUUCCGAUUAUUAUGA